UGAGAGGAUGAUCAGACACACUGGAACUGAGACACGGUCCAGACUCCUACGGGAGGCAGCAGUGAGGAAUAUUGCACAAUGGAGGAAACUCUGAUGCAGCAACGCCGCGUGGAGGAUGACGCAUUUCGGUGUGUAAACUCCUUUUAUUAGGGAAGAUAAUGACGGUACCUAAUGAAUAAGCACCGGCUAACUCCGUGCCAGCAGCCGCGGUAAUACGGAGGGUGCAAGCGUUACUCGGAAUCACUGGGCGUAAAGGGUGCGUAGGCUGGCUUCUAAGUCAGAUGUGAAAUCCAAUGGCUUAACCAUUGAACUGCAUUUGAAACUGGGAGCCUAGAGUUCAGAAGGGGCAGAUGGAAUUAGUGGUGUAGGGGUAAAAUCCGUAGAUAUCACUAGGAAUAUCAAAAGCGAAGGCGAUCUGCUGGGAUGAUACUGACGCUGAGGCACGAAAGCGUGGGGAGCAAACAGAAUUAGAUACCCUGGUAGUCCACGCCCUAAACGAUGAAUGCUAGUCGUCGGGGAGCUCGUCUCUUCGGUGAUGCACUUAACAGAUUAAGCAUUCCGCCUGGGGAGUACGGUCGCAAGAUUAAAACUCAAAGGAAUAGACGGGGACCCGCACAAGUGGUGGAGCAUGUGGUUUAAUUCGAAGAUACACGAAGAACCUUACCUGGUCUUGACAUGGUAGGAACCCUUAAGAGAUUAGGGGGUGCUAGCUUGCUAGAACCUACACACAGGUGCUGCACGGCUGUCGUCAGCUCGUGUCGUGAGAUGUUGGGUUAAGUCCCGCAACGAGCGCAACCCUCGUCAUUAGUUGCUAACAGUUCGGCUGAGCACUCUAAUGAGACUGCCUCCGUAAGGAGGAGGAAGGUGAGGACGACGUCAAGUCAUCAUGGCCCUUACGGCCAGGGCUACACACGUGCUACAAUGGGGCGUACAGAGAGCUGCAAUACCGCGAGGUGGAGCCAAUCUCUUAAAGCGUCUCUCAGUUCGGAUUGUUCUCUGCAACUCGAGAACAUGAAGCUGGAAUCACUAGUAAUCGCAGAUCAGCUAUGCUGCGGUGAAUACGUUCCCGGGUCUUGUACUCACCGCCCGUCACACCAUGGGAGUUGAUUUCACCCGAAAUCGGGAUGCCAAACUGGCUACCGCUUACGGUGGAAUUAGCGACUGGGGUGAAGUCGUAACA
This 1180-nucleotide ribosomal RNA is filed under the name uncultured bacterium. RNAcentral's name for it is "bacterial SSU rRNA". It matches the Rfam family "Bacterial small subunit ribosomal RNA", at positions 293 to 1493 of the family's 1533-position model. The record is from RNAcentral.